RNAcentral lists this long non-coding RNA (964 nucleotides) under Homo sapiens (human). RNAcentral's name for it is "HSALNT0128849". Lineage: Eukaryota; Metazoa; Chordata; Mammalia; Primates; Hominidae. The record is from RNAcentral.
CUUUAGAUAAAAAGGGGUGAUUUCCCAGUGCUUCCCUUGACUCUUGGAACCCCUCAGCCCCAGCACCCCAGGCCCCAUAACUACUGGGGGUGGGGGCAGGAAGGGGAGGUCUUGCCAGAGGGCCUCCUGAGGGGCUACAGUUUCCUACAUCGAUACAGCCGAGCCCUCUCUGGUUCUGGUCACUUAUCCCCAUUCUGGGCCCUCGAGGAGCCCAGGCCCAGCCCAGUCCUCCGCCCCUGCUCCCCCCUCCCCUCCGCCCCCACCCCUCCCGCGUGCUCCGCUGGGGCACACCCCCUGGGCCAGCCCGCGGAGCCACCCCCACCUCCAGAGUCGGCCUCUGGACCUCUCCUCCUGCUGCUGGAGGAGCAGCACCCCGGUCCUCGCCCUGCUGUGUUCAGCGUGGCCGCGAGGCUGGGAAAGUCCCCCACUCCAGCCUCUGCUCCCAGGUACCCGCUCCCGCCCCUCCCGGGGUCCGGAGACAACCAUCUCCCCACGCAUCCCGGCCAUGCUAGCCUCACUUUUCCUCCACGUUUAGCCUCUUCAUUGUUGCCUUCUUAAGUUCUGGGACAGGACCUGAGGAAACCAGCCCAGGAACUAUUGCGCCCCAUCCUUUUCCGCUGCUCGGGGGACGAGAGUCUGCCAUUCCCGGCCGCGAGCCCAGGGACGCAGCCUCUACCUGACACCAUCUUCCCCCAAACUCUUGCACAGUUCCUGCCAUUGGCCUGAAGAUCCCGGGGGAUGAACGCUUUAACCUCAACCUCUUUUCCGAAAGGGUGAGGGUGGCCCGGAUUAAUGCCCAGGGCGCCACAGCUGGGCCUUCCUCCCCAUUUCUUACUAACACCGGCUCAGAGCUUUUUGGGGUGUGACCUGGAAGUCCCCCAUUCAGCCAGCACUGUUACAUGGACACCUCUACACUCGGAGUCUCCACCUUUCCCAAUCCAUGGCUCUGUCUUCACAUGGCCUG